UGCAUAUGUGUGUGUGUCUGUGUGUGUGUGUGUGUGUGUGUGUGUCUAUACAUAUUAUUCGAGUUUGUCAGCACAAGACAAAAU
Cervus elaphus (red deer) is the source of this 84-nucleotide long non-coding RNA. RefSeq lists it as uncharacterized. NCBI's taxonomy places the organism in Eukaryota, Metazoa, Chordata, Mammalia, Artiodactyla, Cervidae. The record is from RefSeq and is a predicted model, not a curated record. The transcript has 2 exons.